UUGGAUUAUAAUCCAAAAGUUAAAGAAAAUCAUGUCGAACUGAACAACAAGAAUCCCCAAACAACUCCAAAGAAACCUACAAGGAAGACACCGAAAGCAAGUAGUUUUAGUUUUGGAGAAGCCUCGUAUCAAGAUAUGCAUAGCUUUCGGGCUCUGGAAAAUAAGCGGCUUCAAAUAGAACACAAACAUAGAGUUAAGAAUAUGGCAAAGAUGUACAAUCAAGCAAUGAUUAAUUUAAAAUUACAGACCGAAAUACAUACAAUAAAAAUGAUUUAAAGAUAAA
Pieris napi is the source of this 283-nucleotide long non-coding RNA. RefSeq lists it as uncharacterized. The record is from RefSeq and is a predicted model, not a curated record. The transcript is spliced from 2 exons. NCBI's taxonomy places the organism in Eukaryota, Metazoa, Arthropoda, Insecta, Lepidoptera, Pieridae.